RNAcentral lists this ribosomal RNA (497 nucleotides) under uncultured bacterium. Its description in RNAcentral is "partial 16S ribosomal RNA". It matches the Rfam family "Bacterial small subunit ribosomal RNA", at positions 28 to 507 of the family's 1533-position model. The record is from RNAcentral.
GAUGAACGCUGGCGGCGUGCCUAAUACAUGCAAGUCGAGCGAACGGACGAGAAGCUUGCUUCUCUGAUGUUAGCGGCGGACGGGUGAGUAACACGUGGAUAACCUACCUAUAAGACUGGGAUAACUUCGGGAAACCGGAGCUAAUACCGGAUAAUAUUUUGAACCGCAUGGUUCAAAAGUGAAAGACGGUCUUGCUGUCACUUAUAGAUGGAUCCGCGCUGCAUUAGCUAGUUGGUAAGGUAACGGCUUACCAAGGCAACGAUGCAUAGCCGACCUGAGAGAGUGAUCGGCCACACUGGAACUGAGACACGGUCCAGACUCCUACGGGAGGCAGCAGUAGGGAAUCUUCCGCAAUGGGCGAAAGCCUGACGGAGCAACGCCGCGUGAGUGAUGAAGGUCUUCGGAUCGGAAAACUCUGUUAUGAGGGAAGAACAUAUGUGUAAGUAACUGUGCACAUCUUGACGGUACCUAAUCAGAAAGCCACGGCUAACUACGUG